Molecule: ribosomal RNA, 273 nt
Filed under: uncultured bacterium
Lineage: Bacteria
Description: partial 16S ribosomal RNA
Rfam family: Bacterial small subunit ribosomal RNA
Source: RNAcentral
UACGUAGGUGGCGAGCGUUGUCCGGAUUUACUGGGCGUAAAGCGCGCGCAGGCGGUUUCCUAAGUCCGGUGUGAAAUCGCCCGGCUUACCCGGGCGGGUGCGCUGGAGACUGGGAAGCUGGAGGUGGGCAGAGGCCGGUGGAAUUCCCGGUGUAGUGGUGAAAUGCGUAGAGAUCGGGAGGAACACCCGUGGCGAAAGCGGCCGGCUGGGCCCAUCCUGACGCUGAGGCGCGAAAGCGUGGGGAGCGAACCGGAUUAGAUACCCCCGUAGUCC